GUGUGUGUGCGUGUGGUCUGUGUGUGUGUGUGUGUGUGUGUGUGUGUGUGUGUGUGUGUGCGUGCGUGUGGUCCGUGUGUGUGUGUGUGUGUGUGUGUGUGUGUGUGUGUGUGUGUGUGUGUGUGUGUGUGGUUGAUUACUCAUCGCUGGGCUCAGACACACACAGUAAAGCCUGUGUGACUGAUAGGGUUUUCUAACACUGUGUGUUCUGAUGUUUGGUCUGUGCGUGUCUGACUGCUCGUUCCCUUUGCUCCUUUGUGCUCGCUCACUUUCUCUUUUCACCUUUUUCCUUUCUCUUGUUUUUUUAUUUGUUCUUCCUUCUUAUUUCCUUUCAUCCUGCUGGCUUUGCUCUUUUUUGCCACAUCUCCGUCUCCCGUCUUUAAUCCCUGCCUCCCUUUUCCACCCCCCUCCGUCUCUUCCUCUCUCUCUCCUGUCUGACACUGCACCUCGCUCGCCCCCUCCCUCUCUCUCGCUUUUCAUGCUCCGUCUAUCCCCCUCCCACCCUUUCCCUCAUUACUCGGUAUAAUCGGUUGUCUAGACAGUGGCUCCCCACACAGAUCACACCUGAGAGGAGAGGAAAGAAAGCGACAGAGGAGGAAACAAGAGGGAAGAGAGUGAGAAAAGAGGAGAUGAAAUGAUUUCCCUCCCCUGUAAGAUGUCUGAGGCAUAAAACGCUGACUGAAAGAGGCAGCGAGGGGGAGUUGGACGCCACAAAGAAAGACUGAAUGAGGGAAUCGCAGGAACUAAAGGGAGCAGACGGUAGUGUUUCCCUCUUGGUCGUCGACUCUGAAGCGCCACUGCAGCUGCAGCCCAGCCUCAUUUCAGGAGGACUUACAGAUACAGUCUGCACGAAGGGCCAGAACAUUUGCAUAUUUAGAUCCACAGCCACAUGCAAAUCGCUCCUACCUGAACAAUCUGUUGCUCCUAAUACAAGCACUGCUUAUUUUUUAAUGCCUAGAAAUAAAUGAGGCAAUUUGACCGUGUAACAAACUCAAAGGUGAAACAAACCAACUAACAUUUGAGUAAAUGUACUCUGUACUACUUGAGAUACUUGAAUGCUGUUGUGCAGAGCCUCCUCUGUGUUCGGCUCAGAGUAUUCACAGGAAUCGUUGGACUGUGUGUCAGACUUGGAGUCUUUCUGCCCCACAGUGAACAAGUUGAAACCCAGAACUGAUCCAUAGGCGACGUACGUCCAAUCAUCUGGGAUCUGCUGACAUCCCACACAUCUCUGCUUCCUCCUGAAGCACAUUCACCUUCUCCAAGCUCCUCUCUCUAAUCCAUCCACAUGAUUCUCUGCUGGAGGACAUCCAGCCAGCUGAGGGGACAACAGCUGCACACUGCCUCCUAGAGGCCAUUGGACGUACUGCAUAGAUGGGGAAUAUCUGAUCAGGCUGCUGCAUGAAAAUGCACAAACCCUCGUUUUGGCUGCACAAAAUGCAGGGUCCAUUCAUGAGCACAAUAAUAUCACAUUACAGCGUGUGUGAAGGCUCCUGCAGUUUGUCCUGCUAGCACCGUCUCCCUGUGGACUGAGCCACUGCCUGAUGUGCUUCAGUGGGUAGUUAUUCUCAACAUGAAGCCCCUCUACUUCCUGUCUGAGGCGUGGAACAAUCUUCCCCAGCAACAGCAGACGAGAGCCUCUGAGUGGCUGCUGGGCAGCAUGAAGGUAAGGUUUGGACCCCUCACCUCAGCCUCGUGGUUCCUUUGAACGGAUCUGAGAUGACGCUGCUGGUCGGGCUCGUCGCACUCACUGCAGUAAAGCAGCUUUGCUUGUCAUCUUUGAACUCAGCACAUGUAAAGUGAGAGAAAACUGUUAGUUUGUUCUGUUUGAUGCCUGUGGUUAUAAUGAGCUGUUACAGUAAAUUAACUGGAAACAGAGCCUAAAAAUCAUAAUUGGACUUUAUGCAAACAGAACGCUGUUAUAAAUGGGAGGAAAAGGAGCAGGAAGGAAAUAAGAACUGGAAGCGCAGCCUGUGUCUGUGAAGCUGGGGGUGAUGCACAUGAGCCAGCAAACAGCCACACGGGGUAAAGUUCAGCUUUCAGAGACAUAAGCAAUCAAGACCAAAUGUGUUAACAUUUACUUAAUGAGGUGUUGUGGUUUCAAAAGGGAAAACAGGAUCUUGCUCUAAGGUCUGGAGCUUCAAAUGUGCAGCAGAUGGACGUUCCCACCUUCAUCUGUCAUCUUCAAGGUUUAUAAUGCUGCAAGCUGUUUCCAGGCUCCAGUUAGUCGGAGCAGUCUGAACACUAACUCAGGCUUCCUUCCCGGGUUCAUGCUGCGUCUCCUGCUCCCAUGACAUCCGCUACACGUACUAGCUGACGGUGAUGUGGCCAGAGAUGCGAGGAAGAAGGACUUUGAGACUGCCCACUGUUACUGGGCAAAGUCAAAAAAGCGGAUCCUGGAGUCCCCCUGCACUAAGAAUCUCCAAGCACCUCCUCUACAGCAGCUAUGGGGGGAGCA
This is a long non-coding RNA of Betta splendens (Siamese fighting fish), 2455 nucleotides long. RefSeq lists it as uncharacterized. The record is from RefSeq and is a predicted model, not a curated record. NCBI's taxonomy places the organism in Eukaryota, Metazoa, Chordata, Actinopteri, Anabantiformes, Osphronemidae. The transcript is spliced from 3 exons.